Molecule: ribosomal RNA, 588 nt
Filed under: uncultured Jaminaea
Lineage: Eukaryota; Fungi; Basidiomycota; Exobasidiomycetes; Microstromatales
Description: LSU rRNA
Rfam family: Eukaryotic large subunit ribosomal RNA
Source: RNAcentral
UAGUACGGCGAGUGAAGCGGGAAGAGCUCAAAUUUGAAAGCUGGCGCCUUCGGCGUCCGCGUUGUAAUCUCGAGGAGUGUUUUCCGUGCUGGACCAUGUACAAGUUCCUUGGAAUAGGACGUCAUAGAGGGUGAAAAUCCCGUACUUGAUGUGGCCGCCCAGUGCUUUGUGAUACACUUUCCAUGAGUCGAGUUGUUUGGGAAUGCAGCUCAAAAUGGGUGGUAAAUUCCAUCUAAAGCUAAAUAUUGGGGAGAGACCGAUAGCGAACAAGUACCGUGAGGGAAAGAUGAAAAGCACUUUGGAAAGAGAGUUAAAUAGUACGUGAAAUUGUCGAAAGGGAAGCGCUUGAAGUUAGACAUGCUAGUUGGAAUUCAGCCUUGCUUUUGCUUGGUGCAUUUUCCGGUUAGCAGGCCAGCAUCAGUUUUGCCUGUCGGAUAAGGGUAGGAGGAAUGUGGCCCCUCGGGGUGUUAUAGCCUCUUACUGGAUACGACGGGUGGGACUGAGGACAGCAGUGCGCCUUUAUGGCGGGCCUUCGGGCACCUUCGCACUUAGGAUGCUGGCGUAAUGGCUUUAAGCGACCCGUCUUGA